RNAcentral lists this ribosomal RNA (620 nucleotides) under uncultured bacterium. Its description in RNAcentral is "bacterial SSU rRNA". It matches the Rfam family "Bacterial small subunit ribosomal RNA", at positions 353 to 967 of the family's 1533-position model. The record is from RNAcentral.
AGUGAGGAAUAUUGGACAAUGGGCGGGAGCCUGAUCCAGCCAUGCCGCGUGCAGGAAGACGGCCCUAUGGGUUGUAAACUGCUUUUACAGGGGAAGAAACCUAUCUUCGUGAAGAUAGCUGACGGUACCCUGCGAAUAAGGAUCGGCUAACUCCGUGCCAGCAGCCGCGGUAAUACGGAGGAUCCAAGCGUUAUCCGGAAUCAUUGGGUUUAAAGGGUCCGUAGGCGGGUCGGCAAGUCAGUGGUGAAAGUCCGUGGCUCAACCAUGGAACUGCCAUUGAAACUGCCGUCCUUGAGUAAUUGUGAAGUGGUUGGAACAUGUAGUGUAGCGGUGAAAUGCAUAGAUAUUACAUAGAACACCGAUUGCGAAGGCAGAUCACUAACGGUUCACUGACGCUGAUGGACGAAAGCGUGGGUAGCGAACAGGAUUAGAUACCCUGGUAGUCCACGCCGUAAACGAUGGUUACUAGCUGUCCGGCGCGCAUUGGCGUGCUGGGUGGCCAAGCGAAAGUGAUAAGUAACCCACCUGGGGAGUACGUUCGCAAGAAUGAAACUCAAAGGAAUUGACGGGGGCCCGCACAAGCGGUGGAGCAUGUGGUUUAAUUCGAUGAUACGCGAGGA